CCGUGCUAGACGGGGAGUUGGCGGUGCCCUGUAGCCCGAAAUCCGCCUUAUGCGGGGUUGAAUCCCCCUUUUAGAUCGACUGAUUCACAUGUCUCGUGGGACACGGAGCAUUGAAGGCCAGGUCCUACGCAGCGAUGGCCCAUGAACCCCGUCAGGACCGGGAGGUAGCAGCGGUAAGUGGUCACCCUCGCGUGCCGUAGUUAUACCUGACCGGAGCCACCAGCUCACGGGGGGUGUUGGAGAGGCGGGCGAGAAGGGGUGCACGG
This 266-nucleotide signal recognition particle RNA is filed under the name Candidatus Eiseniibacteriota bacterium. RNAcentral describes it as "signal recognition particle sRNA large type". It matches the Rfam family "Bacterial large signal recognition particle RNA". Rfam says of the family: The signal recognition particle (SRP) is a universally conserved ribonucleoprotein involved in the co-translational targeting of proteins to membranes. Archaeal SRP consists of a 7S RNA and homologues of the eukaryotic SRP19 and SRP54 proteins. The record is from RNAcentral. Lineage: Bacteria; Candidatus Eiseniibacteriota.